Molecule: long non-coding RNA, 8161 nt
Filed under: Gossypium raimondii (Peruvian cotton)
Lineage: Eukaryota; Viridiplantae; Streptophyta; Magnoliopsida; Malvales; Malvaceae
Description: long non-coding RNA (GRAI_LNC007935)
Source: RNAcentral
UAAUUUGCAUUAUUUCUAACCAAGUCACUUACCUACCAAAACUUACCAUUUGAUGCCAAAAUGUAUUUCAAAUACUAACAUAUUUAGUUAUAUAUAUACCUUACAUAUCAUGGUCCCGAUUCAUGAUCAAUUUAUUGCAUCCAAAAAACAUGUAUAGAAAUGCACCUUUAUCUAACAUUUUACCUUUCACCAUACAACCAUAAACCAAACCACACAUCAAACAUUUAAAAAAAAUAUGCACCAAACCAAUAUGUGCCAAAACACAAGCCAAAUAAGUGGCUAAUAUUAACAAAACUCAUAUAGGCCAACAUUAACCAGAAUACCUAUACAUGCCAUUAUAACCAAAUCAAAACAUUUAAAAGUACCGAUAGAACCGAUAGAUAGUGUGAUAUAACUCCGACAAAAUUCCAACCCGAUCGAGCUUCCGAUAAUCUAAAAAGUAAAGGAAAACAACUACGUAAGCAACGGAUGCUUAGUAAGCUCGUAUAAACUUUAAUCAUAUUAAUUCAUUUCAAAUAUGAAAUCUAUACGUAUCAAGAAUAACCCAAUAUUGAUACCACAAUACUCAUGAAGCUAUAUUCAUCAAUUCACAAGGUGAAUAAAUCCACAGUAUCACAUAUACAUAUUAUCCCAAACUUAGUAGGAUUUUAUAUAACUUUAACUCUUCCAGAUUUCCUUAUUUUCAUUUGCAUUUCUUUACUUUCCACACUUAUUCCAUAUGCAUGACACACAAGUCAUAAAAAUAUCAUUCCAUCAUGGUCACAAACUAGUGCAUUUAACCAAAGCCUUUUUUUGAAUUGAUCACAUGAUAAGUUAUUUCAUAAGAAAUUUCAUAAUUUAAAACCUUACCACUUUUUCAUGAGCACUAGCAUAUUUUCACUUAAAUACUUACCAAUUCAAUGCAUUUUAUAAAUAAUCAUAUUACCAUUCAACCAAUAGCUUGGCACUUGCCUAAGCAUCAAGCAACAACACUGGUUAGCAAACUUACACAUAUUACAUAUAAAUUCAACAUUGAUAAACUUAUUUUCUCGACAUGUCACACUUGAGUUUAUUACUCGUCUUAACAUACAUAAUUUCCUUGUAUCAACACAUCAAAGAUAGUCACAUAUUUACAUGUCAUGAUACAUAUCAUUCUCUUGUCGUUUCUUCAUAAACAUAAAUCAUUCAUUUCAUUAUAUCAAUAUUUCAUGUAUCAUCAUUUUCAUGAAUUUCGUGUAUAUUUAUUCCAGUAACAGUUCAUAAUCAUGAAUAUACAUAAUUAUCAGGCAAGUUUCACAUACAUGUAUUUUCCAUGUCAUGUUUCAAUAUAUCAAAUAAAUAUCAGUUCCUUCAGGUAUAUACCGAUAAUAUUUUAUUUCGAACUCAUGUUAUCUCAUAUCAGAACUUUACCCGUUGAAUCAUUUAAAAUAUCGAUGGAUACAAAGGUAGUACACAUGAAGUGUACGAAUCUAAAAUCCGUCAAUUCAUAUUUGGGGGGUACUCAUUAGAGCACAUAAUCAAAAAACACUCUCUCGAGCCAUAUAACAGGAAGCUUAUCUGGGCUAUAACAGGAAACUCAUAAGAGUUUAUAACAGAAAGCUCAUGUGAGCUUAACAGGUAACUCCUAAAAGCUAUUAUCAGGAAGCUCUAGAUAGUCAUAUAUCAGGAAGUUCAAGCGAGCUAUAUUGGGAAGCUCAUGAAGAGCCAUAUAUUGGGACGCUCAUAAGAGCUGCGGUAUGUCCGUAAUACAUGUAGGAUCAAUACAGAUCAUAUAAUAGGACACUCAAAAAGAGUUGCGGUAUGUCUGCAACACAUGCAGGAUCAAUACCGAUCAGGAUGCUGACAGGAACUGUAAUGGCCCAAAUUUAAGAUUAUCAGAAUAGUGGUUUCGGGACCACAAAUCCGAUGAGGAAAUUUUAUUUUUCUUAUAUUUUAUGGUCUAUGAUUUCACAAAAUGAUUUCGUGAAAAUUUCGUUUGAAAAUUUCGACGUUUGGGCACUUAAUUUAGUCAAAAGGACUAAAUUAUAAAAAAUGCAAAAGUUGAGUUCUACAUGUUAGAGGUGUCCAAUUGUUAUGAAAUUUUAAAUUGAAGGUCCUUAUAUGGUAAUUAGACCAUUUCUAACUUGGUAGACAAAAAUGGACAUGAAAUAAGUGAAAUAGAAAAUUUUUAAGUUAGGGGCAAUUUGGUAAUCUAGUAAUAAAAAGAAUUAAAAGGGAAAAAGAUGGCAAAAAUCAUCAUCUUCUUCAUUAGGAUGAAAUCAGCAAGGGGGGAGCCAUAGUUAGGGUUUUCAAGCUUCCAAGCUCCAUAGUAAGUGAUCCCAAGCCCCAUUUUUAAUGUUCUUUACGUUUUUGAGAUCCCAAUAGCUUAAUUUAGCUUAUUCUAGCAAUAAUUUAACCUAGGGUUUAUAUUUGGAAAAAUACCCAUAGGUGAAAAGUGUUUAUUUUGAUGUUUUAUGAUAGAAUAUGAAGCUAGAAAUUAUGUUAAACAACUUUUGCUAAGCGAUAUUAAGUGAAAACGAGUAAAACGACAUAAUCGGUAAAAAUACCUAAUGUUCUUAAGUACAUGGUAGAGUGGGAAUUUGAUAUUGCCAUAGAAGGGAAAAAUGUUCAGCAUAUCAUAAAACAUAAGAAUAAGAGAUGAAGUUUAAUUUCCGAGCCUUGGGACAAAAAUGUAAUUAUGUAAAAGUUUAGGGGCAAAAUUGCAAUUUUAAAAAAGUUAGAGUCGAGGACUGUUUUGAUAAAUGUGAGUAUUAAAUGAGUUAAAUUUGCUAUUUUAGAUCAAGAAGAAUGAAACUCGAGGUUAGACAAAGGAAAGAAUAAAGUUGAAGACUAAGUUGGUGAAUUGGGCUAUAUUGGUACCGAGGUAAGUUUACGGUAAAUAAAUACAAUAUUUUAAUAAUUAUUGUUAAUUUUGUUAUUUUCCAGCAAUUAUAUAUUUAUUUCAUGAAUUUAUUUGAUGAUGACCCAAGCAUGAAAUGAUAGAGAAUUAAAAUUUAAAAGUCCCGUUGAUACAUAAGGAUGAUACUGGAUAUGAAUGUUAUGACAUUUGGGUAAAGAGGUCCCAUGUAAGACCAUGUCUGGGACAUGGCAUUGGCACCGAGAUGAGAGGUCCCAUGUGACAUGGCAUAGGCACCGAGAUGAGAGGUCCCAUAUAAGACCAUGUCUGGGACAUGGCGUUGGCACCGAGAUGAGAGGUCCCCCGUAAGACCAUGUCUGGGACAUGGCAUGGGCACCGACAUGAGUACAUCCCAUGUAAGACCAUGUCUGGGACAUGGCUUUGGCAUGUUAUGAUCAGAAGAUACCCGAGUAUCCUUAUUAUUCCAAUGUGGUUCAACGGGCUAGUAAACGAAUCAGGUACAUGAAAGUUCAGUUAAAGAUAAGAAAUGGCAAGCUCAUGUGAGUUAUAGGAGUUAAGAAUUUAUUAUAUUAACAUUUGAUAUUCAACGAUGCAGCAAGAGAAGAGUAAGUUAUGAACACAAGUAUAUUAAGUAAUCAAGCAAGAGAACUAGUAUGAGAUUAACUAAAGAGUAAAAUAGAGAUAUAGACACUUGAGUUUAAUUAUUUGUGUUAAAUAUUAUUAUUUAUUUGCUAGUAAACUUACUAAGCUUUAUGCUUACGUCUUUUAUUUCUCUUUCUCUUAUAGUAUUGCAAGGCUACUUCAAGGAUCCUAAAGAAGUCGGAGAUCGUCCACACUAUCAACCACAACUGCUCGGUAUUUUAUGUCAAAACACGUUUGAGUUAUGGCAUGUAUAGGGAUUUAGUUAUUUUGUAUGUUUGUAAUGAUGAUUUUGCUAAUGAAUGAUGUGUAAGCAUUUGAUGAUGUAUGGUCAUUAAAAUGGUUAAGUAUGAAGGUGUUUGUUGUUAUGAAAGAUUAGGUGAUAAAUUAUGCAUGGAAAUCAUGAAAGGAUAAAAUUUUGCAAAGAAACAGAAUUCUGGCAGCAACAGUGACGUCACUUUGAAAAAUCACCUAGGAUGGUAUAAAAUGAAUUACAGGGUGAAUGAUAUAUGGAAUUAAAUAUUGUUGAGUCUAUUUUCAUGUAAAAAUAACGGUUUAGCAAAAGGAAUUUUAUAUUUUAAGAUAUGUGAAUUUUGGUGAGACAGAGUCAGAACAGUUUUUGGUGUCCCCUGUUUUGAGUUUAGAAAAUCAUUAAAAAUUGUACAAAAAUAGUUAUAAGUUUUAGUUUAUAUGUAUAGAUUCCUUAUUGAGUCUAUUUUCUGUAAAAACAAGUAAGAACUUCAUAUGAAAAUCCUACAGUGAGAAAACUUAUUUUUGGUGACAAGAGGUCAGGACAGGUAGGUGGUGAAACAGGGGAGACUUUAACUAAUAAACUGUACUAAUUGGCUAAACCAAAAAUUCUAAAAAAAUUAUGGUAAGUAUAAAUAUGAGUCUAGUUUCAGGAAAAUUUACGUAAUUAAAUUUCAAGGUCCGUAGCUCGAGUUAUACUUAAUUUUGUAACUGCUGCGCUAUUGGACAGAUUUGCUGUAAAUAGUGAAAUAAAUUUUCAAACUAAGUUUUUAUGCUCCGAAUUUCUAAGAUAAGCUAAGUAAUGCCUCGUGCUCGAUUCCGGCAACGGUAUCAGGUAAGGGGUGUUACAGGAACCAUGUAACGAGAAGCUCGAGAGGGCUUAUAACAGGACGCUCUUUCGAGCUAUUGUAUGUCUGCAACAUAUGCAAGACCACAUCCAAUACGGGAAAUCCUGUAUCAAUCGAAUUUCAUUUAUUCAAACGGGACUUUAUAUUUAUCAAACAUCAUCAAAUAUAUGAUCAAUUUCAUAUAUAUAUGACAUUUACACAAAUUCACAAAUACAACAUUCAAUUCAAACAUAUAAAUAUAAAAAAAUUAGUUACAUGAAUUUAUCUGGCUAAAUUGCAAAAAUACCAAGAUUUAGGGGUAUUUUGGUAAUUUUUCAUUUUCCUCGAUUUUCCACCCAUCUUGAUCUAAAUUAAUAAUUUCAUUCAAUUUAUUAAUUUAGACAAUAAAACAAUUCAUUUCCUGCAAUUUGAUUUUUUUACAUUUUUACAAAAUUGCCCCUAACGUUUUACUUUUAUUCAAUUUAUUCCCUAAGCCUAAAACAUGCAAAUCAACGAUUUUUAAUGUAAACUCAUGCUAGCUGGAUAUUCAUAUAUAUUUUCCUCCUCCUCUUCAUUCCACAUCCUUAAUGUAUAUAGCAUGCUAAUAUGUAACAUUAUCUAUAAUUUCACUAUUACUUAUAUGUUAAUAUCAAAGCUGUCCACUUGAGUCAUAGUCACUAAAUUAUUUAUAUCUUGAGCUACAAAAUUCUAAAUUAAGAUCCACUUAAUGUUUUUGAAACUAGACUCAAAUUUCUUUCUACCAUAAAAAUUUCAUAAUUUAUAAUUUAGUCAAUAAGUACAGUAAAAUCUUCAAAUUUAUCCCUAUUCUGCUGUUUGACAGCUUCGACCUUUCUUUACUAAAAAUUAAUUAUCUCUUAGUACGAGGUUUGGAUGAUGUCUCCAUUUGUUUCUCUUGAAAAUAUACCCAUUAAUAAUUUAAACAUAUAAAUUUAAACCCCUAAUUAUUUUUUUUACAAUUUUUGAUGAUUUUCCAAAUUCAGAACAGGGGAACCUGAAAUCAAUCUGACAUUGUCUCAUAAAAAUUCAUAUAUCUCAUAAUAUGAAAAUAUUUUGCUUACACUGUUUCUUAUAUGUAAAACUAGACUAAAUAAGGUUUACUUUGAUACUUUAAUUACCACUAAUUCAAUUUAUACAAUUUUUGGUGAAUUUUCAAAGUCAGACUACUGCUGCUGUCCAAAACUAUUUUAGUGCAAAAUGUUGAUAACCAAGUAUAUAACACCCUCCUUUCCUUUCUCUACAAUAUUUCCCUUCACUAACAUAUCAAGAACAUAGAACCUUAUAUAAGAAAACUCUACGUUAACAUUAUUUUCAUGCUUUUUCAAUAAUAUCAAACUUAAAAAUAUAUUAAAAUUUUGAUGUUUUUACCUUGUUCUAUUGAUUUCAAUCUUUAACUUGAUUUUCUCUCUCCUCAAACUUCUAUUUCUUAAAUCUAACUUGAUAUUCUAGCUCCUCAUAGCUUUCUUAUUAUUUUACUCUCUUGGUAGCUAUAGAAAUUCUUUUGAUUUCUAAGUGAAAAUGGUGAAUUUUUUGUUAAAGGACCAAAUUGUAAAGAAAUUUUUUUUCUUUCUUCAUUCUCUUCUCACGUGGGUGCAUGGAAAGGUGAAGAGAGUUCUUCAUCUUUCUUUCCUUGUAUAUUAAAUAAAAUAAUAAUAAUAAAAUAAUAAAAUAUCUCAUUAAAAUAUUAAUAAAAUAAUAUUUAUCUAAUUAAAUAAUUAUAAAAUAUCAUCAAAAUAUCUCUAAUAUCAUCAUUGCCUUCUAGAGUUGUCUCUAUUUCUAAUUGACCAUUUUUCCCUUUAUGAUCUUUUAAAAUUCCAUCCUUGAGUUAUCACUUAAUUUGGUAAAAUUAUGAUUUAGUCCCUCAUGAUUCUUCACCUAUUCAAUUUGGUCCUUAUUCAUCCAUUUUUUUUAGUUUCUAGAUCAUUCCCCCUUAAAAUAUUUGCACUAUUGGUCUUUCAACUUUUUCAUAUUUACAUUUUAACCCCUUAAAUGUUAAGUAUUUACUCUUAGGCCACAAAACUUUUUUACUUUUACGAUUUAGUCCUUAAUUGAAUUGAUAUAUCAUAAUAUACUUCCCAAUAUUGAAAAUACUCAAAAUUUCCUUUUUUGUCACUUUAUUUUCUUACUUUACUAUAUCAAGGAUAAUAUUUUACUUUCUUACUGUAGUAAAUUUUUGGGGUAUUACAAAAGAGCUAGGAGAGAAAUUCUUAGGGAAAUGAAAGGGUCAUAUGUAGAAGAAUAUGCAAAUCUGUGGGGGUAUGUUGGCUAAGCUAGAAAUAAGUAAUCCUGGGAGCAUAGUUUCAAUCCAAGUCCAUAGAAAUCAAUAAGGUAAAGUUGUGUUCCAUAGGAUUUAUGUGUGUUUCGAAGCAUUGAAAAAAGGGUGGAAAGCUGGUUGUAGGCCUUUUAUUGGAAUUGAUGGGUGUUUCCUUAAAAGUGUUUGUAAAUGAGAGAUGUUAGUGGCUGUUGGCAGAGAUACCAACAAUCAGAUAUAUCCAUUAGCUUGGGCAGUGGUGGAAGGGGAAAAUGCCUCUUCGUAGAAAUGGUUUUUGGAGAAAUUAUUUACAGAUUUAUGUCAUCCAAUGGGUGUUGGAUUAACAUUGAUAUCAGAUCAACAAAAGGUAAUUUAUUAGUAUAAAUAUGUUCAUUCUAUUUAUUUUUUAAGAUACAUAUUUUACACUAAUUGUAUGAUUAACAAUCUAAAUUUUAUGAUUGCUGCAGGGGUUGAUCAGUGUACUAAAUGAGUGUUUUCUAGAUUUGGAGCAUAGAAUGUGUGCAAGACACAUCUAUACCAAUUGGCAAAAGACUUGGAAAGGGUUGAAUAGGAAGAUGUAAUUUUGGAAUUGUGUCAGGUCAACUUUUGUUGAGGACUUUGAUGAUCAGUUACAAAAAUUAAAAGCAAUGGGUGAGACAUCCACUGAUCAAUUAUUAGAGAUCCAUGUGCAUCAUUGGGCAAAGUCAUAUUUUAAAGGGACAUGCAAAUGUGAUGUCGUGGACAAUAAUAUGGUUAAGGCAUUUAAUGCAUGGAUACUUGAAGCAAGAUGCAGACCUAUCAUCACCAUGCUUGAAGAAAUCAUAGUGAUAGUAAUGACUAGGAUGCAUGUGAAGAGAACUUGGGCAGAAAAGUGGAGAACUAACAUUUCCCCUGUUGCAUUGGAAAAGUUGGAUAAGAAUGCUACAACCUCAACUAAAUGUAUGCUUGCAUGGAAUGGUGAUGGAGGGUUUAAAGUGAUCCAUGAAGACAACCAACACACAGUUGACUUGAAAGAGUUGAAAUGCACUUGUAGAGAGUGGGAGCUUACAGGGAUUCCUUGUUGCCAUGUUGUAUGUGCCAUGUACCAUGGUACAGCAAGGAGAAAUAUGCAGCAGCAUACAGUCAGGUUUUACAACCAAUUAAGGGAAAAAAUUUUGGUUCAAGAGAGAUGAUUCAAUUCUUCCUUCACUAGUAAAAAAAGAUGCCUGGAAGGCUCAAGAAAAGCAGAAGAAAAUCUAAGGAUGAACAAAAAAAGAGCAAGUUUGGAAAGGACACUAGGAGAGGCCUUAAAAUGUCAUGCUCUUUGUGUAAACAAGUAGGGAUAAUAAGAAAUUGUGUCCA